UACGUAGGGGGCUAGCGUUAUCCGGAAUUACUGGGCGUAAAGGGUGCGUAGGUGGUUUUUCAAGUCAGGAGUGAAAGGCUACGGUUCAACCGUAGUAAGCUCUUGAAACUGUAAAACUUGAGUGCAGGAGAGGAGAGUAGAAUUCCUAGUGUAGCGGUGAAAUGCGUAGAUAUUAGGAGGAAUACCAGUUGCGAAGGCGGCUCCCGGGACUGUAACUGACACUGAGUCACGAUAGCGUGGGGAGCAAACAGG
RNAcentral lists this ribosomal RNA (252 nucleotides) under uncultured bacterium. RNAcentral describes it as "partial 16S ribosomal RNA". It matches the Rfam family "Bacterial small subunit ribosomal RNA", at positions 524 to 776 of the family's 1533-position model. The record is from RNAcentral.